CGGGACGGGUGAGUAAUGUCUGGGAAACUGCCUGAUGGAGGGGGGUAACUACUGGAAACGGUAGCUAAUACCGCACAACGUCGCAAGACCAAAGAGGGGGACCUUCGGGCCUCUUGCCAUCGGAUGUGCCCAGAUGGGAUUAGCUAGUAGGUGGGGUAACGGCUCACCUAGGCGACGAUCCCUAGCUGGUCUGAGAGGAUGACCAGCCACACUGGAACUGAGACACGGUCCAG
Molecule: ribosomal RNA, 233 nt
Filed under: uncultured bacterium
Lineage: Bacteria
Description: partial 16S ribosomal RNA
Rfam family: Bacterial small subunit ribosomal RNA
Source: RNAcentral